CGGGUGAGUAACACGUGGGUAACCUGCCCCGAUGAUUGGGACAACCCGAGGAAACUCGGGCUAAUACCGAAUGUGCCCUCCAGCCAUAAGACUGGUGGGGAAAGGAAGCCUCGGCCUCCGCAUCGGGAUGGGCCCGCGGCCCAUUAGCUUGUUGGUGAGGUAACGGCUCACCAAGGCGACGAUGGGUAGCUGGUCUGAGAGGACGAUCAGCCACACUGGGACUGAGACACGGCCCAG
RNAcentral lists this ribosomal RNA (237 nucleotides) under uncultured bacterium. RNAcentral's name for it is "partial 16S ribosomal RNA". It matches the Rfam family "Bacterial small subunit ribosomal RNA", at positions 103 to 334 of the family's 1533-position model. The record is from RNAcentral.